Molecule: long non-coding RNA, 5411 nt
Filed under: Cucumis sativus (cucumber)
Lineage: Eukaryota; Viridiplantae; Streptophyta; Magnoliopsida; Cucurbitales; Cucurbitaceae
Description: long non-coding RNA (CSAT_LNC001063)
Source: RNAcentral
UUUGAUACUCUACUUCUGCCCUUUUGCGUAUUCUCUCGUAAGAAAAUUCUCUCUUCAAAAUUCUCCUAUUAAUUUUGUUUUUACUACAGCCCAAAAUCUCUAGCUAAGAGAUUAUGAAGAUUUUCAAGUGGUAGAGAUGCCUCAAUUUGGUGAUUGACAGAUAUAAAGUAGACAACGAAAGUAAGUGUACUUUUUCUCUUUUCUGAAUUAUAAAGCAUGCUUAGCCAUAGAAAUUAGAGUUUGUACUUUUGCACUUUUGUCAAUGUACCGGCAUUCUUAAAAUUCCAAUUGAAUUUGAGUUAAGUUCUGUUUAAAACUUCUCUGCUGCGUAGAACUCUUAUCCCUUCAACCCUCACCUAUGCAAAUCUAAGGAUAAUUUCGUGUGAACAGAAGUUUAUAGUUAGCUUAGGAAUGAGAUUAAGUUACCUAGGUCAUUAGUAAUCGAAAUAGUCAGUUUUAUACGGUUAAUGUUGUUAUAACUUAAAAGUAACUUUCAAUGGUUCUAGUCUUAUGUAAACUCUUUACAUAGGAUGCCCCCACUUCCAUGUCUUCACUUGAACCAUUUAGGAUCACAUCGUUUGUACUAACUACAAAGCGUGUUGCAUCCAUAGUGUCCCCAGAAUAAGACGUCCAAUCUUAUUAAUAUUCUAUAGACUAUGUUUAGGCUAUAUACUCAAACUUGAUGCACGUUUAUGUCCCUACAUAAAGUUCAAGUCUACAUUAGAUAAUCUCGAGACCUUAUUUAAUGGGAUACAAGAUUAUAGUAUUCUAUUUUCACUAAUAAGCUCUAAAAAAUAAUUUUAUUUAAUAAAAUAUAAUUUAAACUACAAACUACGAGUUUAAGGACAUAAAUUUCAACUUUAUGACAACAACUUUAUACUCAAACAUGAUUUGAAUUUUGAAAAAAUGAAUGUGAAUUCAUGUUUGGGAGGUUAGAAUUAGUCAAGAUAGACAAAAUGGUAAAAAGUCAAAAUGUUGACUUUUGACUUAAAAAAAAAAAUCAAAAUUUGACUUUGUUUUGAAUUUUCUAAUGAACAUAUUGCCCUUUGACUAAAUUUUGUGGGAAAAUCGGUCCAACAUUUUGUUGGAUAGUUUACUAACACUUGGUGGAUUAAGUUGCUACAUGGGAUGUGAAAACAUUUGACCCACUAAAUUCCACUAAUGGUUAGUGGAAUUCAUUAUAAGGAAAAGGGAGAUCUCUCGACGAACAAAAUCAUUGAGAGAUGUACAAAAAAAUGUCGAGAAAGGAUCUUUCAACGCAUAAAUGUCCAUCGGGAUCGAGAUCAGGAAAAAGCAUUGGAAGAGGAUCUUCCAACACAAUAUUUACGAGGACAGGAGAUUUGAUUACAACUCCUGACCCCACAAAUACUGCAUUGGAAGAUCUUUUUUUAAAAAAAAAAAUACCUAAUUAGAAUGGACGUACAAGAAGAAAGGUCAUCCUCAAUUAAUACUGCAAAGUUUCUUCUUAACAUCAUUCAAAGUAAGUAAACAAAAUAACUCUAACAAGCUGGUCAAACAAGGAUGAGAACAUAAAGAAGAUAAGUCAUUAGUACUUGGAUCCCUUACCACCUAGGCCAUGUAACCAAACAAGUCAAUAUCUACUUGAUGCUUCUCUUUAGGCCUGACUACAUAGGUCCCUCCCAAACUCAAAGGUCAUCUUACUAGCGAGUGAAAUGAAAUAAUAAUGGAGCGAACUAUAACCAAACCAAGGCUAUUGCAUUGGAAAACUAUAAGCUCAAUAGUUUCUCAUUCAUAGCACUAAGAGUGAAAUGAAAUAACAAAAUAAACAUAUUUCAUUUAAUCCAACGAAAGUCAUAAUUAAGCAUGUCCUCAUUCCAAAAUUUUAGGAUAUGCAAAAAUCAAUCUCAAUAAAUCUCAAUGCCAAUAAAUCUAAUUUGGCACACCAGUCUUAGAAGUGUUCACAAAAAAAAUUAAAAGAAAAAAGUCUCGCAUAAGCUAGAGCUAUUUUCAACGUUUUCAAAGCUAUCAUUAGACUUGUGAUUUCCUAAUUUAGCUUUCUUUUACUAAACAUAUAUACCUACUGAAAUUAAAUAAUUACCCAAGUGAUGAUCAAGAUGGUGAACUAAUCGGAUACACUUAGAAAGCAAUAAUUUAUAAUGACCACCCUAUGUCAAAGAAAGCAAUCAACAACAAAUUAAAGUAAAUAAAGCUAUAUCUUCUCUAACCUGCCAGCGAACAAAUGCAUACAAGAAAAUCAUGAUAUAUAAUUUUUGUUGUUGGACGGAUAUUGUGUAAAUCUAUCAAGGAUGGACCUCUUCUAACUCCAUAAGAAUGAGGCCACAAAUACUCCCCUGGAUAACAAAUGGAAAGAUGAAGGAAAAAUAACUCCUCAUCUCUAAAUAUUGUUGGUUAGUUUGCGUUGAUAUACCACAUACUGAAUUUUCUAUCUUCAACAAUAAAGUAUGUAACAGUCAUACAUUCAUCUUUGUACUCAAAUUGUGAAACCCAGAUUUUCUAAGACCAUGGGAACUUGUCAAUUUUUGGCAAGGACUACUCAAAUUGUGAAACCCAUAUUUUCUAAGACCAUUGGAACUUGUUAAUUUUUGGCAAGGACAAUAAAAAAUAAAAUUUAUAGGGUAAGAAGGUAAAAAUCCUUGAAAGGAUUAAGAAAUUGAGGUUUAGGUUUAAGAGAAAGAGAAAAGUUGGAAAAGAUUUGGCUAAGUGUUAAAGAAAGAACCUUUAGGCGUUUAGAGGUUAUAAUGGUGAUACAUUGGAUGACCAAUGAAAAUGAAAUAACCUCUAAAGAGGCUAGUAUGUGUUUAAGACUAAGCAACCAAGGCAUGUGCAUUAGGCAUUUGAAAGUUAUAAAGCUUGUUGUUAUACUUAGGCGAAAAGAAGCUCUAACGAAUUGUCACUAGUAGAGGAAGGUUGUCAUUUAGAGGUUUUGUGGGCAUUUGAGAGGUUAGGUGGCAAGGACAAUGUGGUUAGCAUGGCAUGCAAGAAGAGCUCGGAGGUUAGCAAGGCAAUGUCACUAGGCGUUUUGGAUUUUUCUUUGGACAUUAGGUGUUUUGGUUAGGUUAUCAAGGCUUUGUGAGAGAGCUUUAGAGGUUAGCUAUGCAAGAAGACCUUGGAGGUUAACUUGGUGUUUUAGGACAAUAAUGUGACUUGAUUAGGGCAUUUGGUUUAAAGAAUAAUCCAAAUGUCUUAACUAUAGGAACAUGCAUUAUGAUUUGGAGAAGAAGUUUGAGGUGUAAUUAGGAGCUUAAGUUGUAAGUCUAAUCAAGGUUGAAGUGUCAACAUAUUUUUAUACAAGAAUUUCUAUAAAUAAACAACUUCAAGAAAGAGUUUCUCACAACAGAAUAGUGAAAUCUUACUCAAAUUAGUCUUAAAAGCUAAAAAAUUAUGUUUAGUUUGUUGAGAACUGAUGUUGUUCAAGUUGAAUGUGAAAAGGUUUGUGUUUGGAUCAAGAUUAGGCGAGAAGGUCAUCAUGCAAAGAAAACUGAGCAAGGUGCAUUCAAAGUGAGCUACAAAACUUAUCUUUUGAAGUUUAUUAUGAUAUUUUGAGGUCAGAAACUUAAGACAUUUUAUGGUUUAUAAGUCAUCAGGAAGGGUAUAUAUAUUCAUGCCUUAAAGGAGGUGUAUAACUUCCCAACGACUAUUCAGUCUUUGGACGAAUGGGUAAAUAACGUCUGUGGCUAUGGAACAUUGUCUUCAAAAAGCUAUGCAAAUGUUUCAAGUAUCAUGUUAUGAAAUGACUAUUUAUUGAUAAGUGUAUUUAGAGCUUCGGUUUUAAAUUAAAUUGUUUAUGAAAACCUGUUUUCUAAAACCGUUGCUCACUAAGUCUUUUGAUUUACUCUUUCAAAAUGUUUUUCCACUUUCCAAGUAUAGACUUUGACUCUUCGCCUGCUGAACCUACUGUUGCCAGGCUAAUCAAAAUUUCAGUCAUGGAAAGAAUACGAUUUUAAAAGUAUUACUGUGUUUUAUGAAAAGUUUAUAUUUUCAUGUUUUAUACAUUUAUGAAAGGCAUUUCAAAUGGGCUACACUGCGUUCUUUUAAAAAAAUGUUUCAAAGUUUUUAAGACUUUCGCUGUUAAAUAUUUUAUGUUUUCAAGUAAGAAUCAAUUGGAGUUGUUUCGAAGGAGAACAACUUCAUCAACUGACAUCAAACAACAUCUCGGACCAAGCAAGCAGGUGCUCAGGAUGGGGUAUGACACAAAUUGCUAAAAAAGUAAUUAAAAUGAAAGCUAAUGAAAAGGAUAAAAAAAAAAUCUCUAAUAUAAUUAAGGUUAUGCAAAGGUAAAAUAAUAGUUCAAAUUUAUUUUGCUUAUUAAGAAAAAGUGUAAGCAUAUUUUAAUAUAAAGUAACCAAAAGUGUAAGCAUAUUUUAAUAUAAAGUAACCAUUGAAAUCCACCUGAUUUGAGAGCAAAUUGGUUUGAUCUGGAAGGUACUGGAUUGGACUAGCAAACUAAUAGUUAGCUAAAUUCUAGUGUUCAGUGUUAUAAACUUUAUCGAUGUAAAAGAAAAAAAAGUUGACCUUGUAUAGACGACGUUUAUAACUUACAUUUUAAAAAACCAAGAGAAAAGCAAGUAAAGCCACACGAGAAGGAAAAAUAAGAGCUUUACUUGUAACACAUGCUUCUUUUCCCAUAUCUAUCAAAUGAUGGUUAGUAAAAAAAAUGUGUUUCUUCUUCAGGUGGCAAGGCGGUGAGACAGAGGCACUCUUGUUCUCGUUCCUGGUGACAAGGCGUUCUUGUUCAGCAAACCAAGUGUGGAGGACAUCUCUCAAAUCCUUGGCGGUAGAAGAGAAUUUCGAAAAGAAGAUUAGGAUUUAUAAAAGAAGAUUGAAAGGAAGAAGAGCAAAAGAAGAUUAGGGUUUAUAAGACCCAAUGUCUCUAAAAUCCCUGGUGGCGGAGCAACGCGGUGACGUAGUGGUCAGAUCCCCUUUUCACAGUGUCUCUCAAAUCCCUGGCGGUAACUUUUGGAUCCCUUAUUCACAGAGAUAUGUGAAAGUACACAUAUGGGAUUUAGAAGGAUACCUACUAACACUUCCCUAUACCCGUCAGGAGUUUUCCAUAAAUGUCGACGCAUUAUCGUCGGUAUUGGCAUUUCUCCCAAGAACUCCCAAUGCAUUACUAGUGCAUCUAUAGUUGUUCCUAUCACUCGACGCCCACACAACCCACAGUCAGGAGAUCUUAUAUCACCCGACGCUUCAACUUCGGUGUCUGGAGAUGUCCUAUUCUCUCGACGACGUUUCUCUCGAAGAUGUAAAGCUGCAUCGAGAGAGUCAUAAUUUCUUGUACUAAAUGUGAGAGUAUUGGAUUUAGGUGAAUUUACACAUUGAAUAGUUGCAUGUCUUUUGUUUAUUUAAAGGCUCGUUGUUCAACUUUGGAAAACUUUUUGAAUACUUUUAAUUUUUGACAUUAAAAAAAAAGUGGAAAAUUCAACUAAAUU